RNAcentral lists this unclassified non-coding RNA (207 nucleotides) under Hevea brasiliensis (rubber tree). The record is from RNAcentral. Lineage: Eukaryota; Viridiplantae; Streptophyta; Magnoliopsida; Malpighiales; Euphorbiaceae.
GGCGAAUAUACCGAAAGGCUACGCGGUGGUGGUCGUGCUCUUCAUCUGCAUCUAUGUUGCUGGAUUUGCGUGGUCGUGGGGGCCGCUGGGGUGGCUGAUUCCUAGCGAGAUUUUCCCGCUGGAGAUCAGGUCCGCCGGGCAGAGCAUCAAUGUUUCCGUGAACAUGCUCUUCACCUUUGUCAUCGCGCAGGCCUUCCUUGUUAUGCU